UGACUUUCCGUGUACAAAUCUUACAGGUUAAUGAUAUUAAGAAUUCGUAGCAUGUUUUUUUGUUUACUGCUGGAUUUGCUAACAAGAUGUCUCUUGUGUUGUUGAUUGAUAUGCAGACUUGCUGUUUGUUGUUCAGUUGAAGGGCCCUCCAGGCUUAAGAUCUUUCGAGGAUAAUUGUGUCAUUGAAUCUGAAGGUUAUGCAAUCUCCUAUGUUGCUGCAUGUUGAUCUUCUGUUUUGUUGUAACUCUGUUUUGCUGCUCGAGUUCUUCUGCCAUUCAAUAGUCAAUACCAAGC
Molecule: long non-coding RNA, 294 nt
Organism: Triticum dicoccoides
Lineage: Eukaryota; Viridiplantae; Streptophyta; Magnoliopsida; Poales; Poaceae
Exons: 3
Source: RefSeq, a predicted model, not a curated record